GACAAACGCUGGCGGCAUGCCUAACACAUGCAAGUCGAACGGACAGAACAGGGAAGCUUUUCGGAGUGGAACUGGAAAGUUAGUGGCGGAUGGGUGAGUAACGCGUGGACAACCUACCUUGUAAAGGGGAAUAACCUCGAGAAAUCGAAGCUAAUACCCCAUAAUAACCUUGCUUCGCAUGAAGUAAGGAGGAAAGGCGGCCUUAGCGCUGUCGAUACAAGAUGGGUCCGCGUCUGAUUAGCUAGUUGGUGAGGUAAAGGCUCACCAAGGCGACGAUCAGUAGCCGGCCUGAGAGGGUGAACGGCCACAUUGGGACUGAGACACGGCGCAAACUCCUACGGGAGGCAGCAGUGGGGAAUCUUCCGCAAUGGGCGAAAGCCUGACGGAGCAAUGCCGCGUGAGUGAAGAAGGCCUUCGGGUUGUAAAACUCUGUCCUUAUCGAAGAGAGAGUGUUGUAGUAUUUGACAAUACUAGGACGGUAGAUGAGGAGGAAGCCCCGGCUAACUAUGUG
RNAcentral lists this ribosomal RNA (511 nucleotides) under uncultured bacterium. RNAcentral describes it as "partial 16S ribosomal RNA". It matches the Rfam family "Bacterial small subunit ribosomal RNA", at positions 28 to 507 of the family's 1533-position model. The record is from RNAcentral.